Molecule: ribosomal RNA, 482 nt
Filed under: uncultured bacterium
Lineage: Bacteria
Description: bacterial SSU rRNA
Rfam family: Bacterial small subunit ribosomal RNA
Source: RNAcentral
GAAAGAGAACCUGCACACAGGUGCUGCGUGGCUGUCGUCCGCUCGUGUCGUGAGAUGUUGGGUUAAGUCCCGCAACGAGCGCAACCCUUGUCAUUAGUUGCUACAUUCAGUUGGGCACUCUAAUGAGACUGCCGGUGACAAACCGGAGGAAGGUGGGGAUGACGUCAAGUCCUCAUGGCCCUUAUAGGUGGGGCUACACACGUCAUACAAUGGCUGGUACAAAGGGUUGCCAACCCGCGAGGGGGAGCUAAUCCCAUAAAACCAGUCGUAGUCCGGAUCGCAGUCUGCAACUCGACUGCGUGAAGUCGGAAUCGCUAGUAAUCGUGGAUCAGAAUGUCACGGUGAAUACGUUCCCGGGUCUUGUACACACCGCCCGUCACACCAUGGGAGCGGGUUCUGCCAGAAGUAGUUAGCCUAACCGCAAGGAGGGCGAUUACCACGGCAGGGUUCGUGACUGGGGUGAAGUCGUAACAAGGUAACCA